Molecule: ribosomal RNA, 353 nt
Filed under: uncultured soil bacterium
Lineage: Bacteria
Description: bacterial SSU rRNA
Rfam family: Bacterial small subunit ribosomal RNA
Source: RNAcentral
CAGCCGCGGUAAUACAGAGGGUGCGAGCGUUGUUCGGAAUUAUUGGGCGUAAAGGGCGCGUAGGCGGUGCGGUAAGUCACCUGUGAAAUCUCCUGGCUCAACUGGGAGCUUGCAGGCGAAACUGCCGUGCUGGAGUGUGGGAGAGGUGCGUGGAAUUCCCGGUGUAGCGGUGAAAUGCGUAGAUAUUGGGAGGAACACCUGUGGCGAAAGCGGCGCACUGGACCACAACUGACGCUGAGGCGCGAAAGCUAGGGGAGCAAACAGGAUUAGAUACCCUGGUAGUCCUAGCCCUAAACUAUGGAUGCUUGGUGUGAUCGGUACCCAAUCCGGUCGUGCCGCAGCUAACGCGUUAA